GAAUAUGAAGCGAUCCAUUGCAAUUAGUUUCGACCUAAUCUUAGAUAAAUUUUAUCCUUAUUCU
Molecule: transfer RNA, 64 nt
Filed under: Megaselia scalaris
Lineage: Eukaryota; Metazoa; Arthropoda; Insecta; Diptera; Phoridae
Description: tRNA-Arg
Source: RNAcentral